Molecule: ribosomal RNA, 488 nt
Filed under: uncultured bacterium
Lineage: Bacteria
Description: partial 16S ribosomal RNA
Rfam family: Bacterial small subunit ribosomal RNA
Source: RNAcentral
AUUGAACGCUGGCGGCAGGCCUAACACAUGCAAGUCGAACGGUAGCACAGAGAGCUUGCUCUCGGGUGACGAGUGGCGGACGGGUGAGUAAUUUCUGGGAAACUGCCCGAUGGAGGGGGAUAACUACUGUAAACGGUAGCUAAUACCGCAUAAUGUCGCAAGACCAAAGAGGGGGACCUUCGGGCCUCUUGCCAUCGGAUGUGCCCAGAUGGGAUUAGCUUGUUGGUGAGGUAAUGGCUCACCAAGGCGACGAUCCCUAGCUGGUCUGAGAGGAUGACCAGACACACUGGAACUGAGACACGGUCCAGACUCCUACGGGAGGCAGCAGUGGGGAAUAUUGCACAAUGGGCGCAAGCCUGAUGCAGACAUGUCGCGUGUGUGAAGAAGGCGUUCGGGUUGUAAAGAAAUUUCAGCGGGGAGGAAGGCAAUGCGGUUAAUAACCGUUUUGAUUGACGUUAGCCGCAGAAGAAGCACCGGCUAACUCCGUG